UGCAGCAUCUUUUCUUUCCAGAGGUCAAAGAAGUAAGAGGGGUCCGUGUAGAACUUCAGCCCGUCCUUCUUGUCAUCUCUGUGAACCAAAUGUUGAAAGCCAGGGAAGAAGGACUGUCAGCCGCCUUCAUCAGGAGGAAGCUAUGAGUAGAGACAGCAGGAUGCUCAGAGUACACUAAUUUCUACUGGAAACUUCAGUAUAGUCACGAUCAAAAACUACCGAGCAAGAUGCCCAAAGGAAAGAAGGCCAAGAGGAAGAAGGUGGCCCCGGCCCCCGCCGUGGUCAAGAAACAAAGAGGCCAAAAAGGUGGUCAAUCCUUUGUUUGAGAAAAGGCCUAAGAACUUCGGCAUUGGGCAGGACACCCAGCCCAAAAGAGAUCUCACGCGCUUCGUCAAAUGGCCCCGCUACAUCAGGCUGCCACGGCAAAGAGUCAUCCUCUAUAAGUGGCUCAAAGUACCUCCUGCCAUCAACCAGUUCACCCAGGCCCUGGACAGGCAAACAGCGACUCAGCUGCUUAAGCUCACCCACAAGUACAGGCCAGAGACAAAGCAGGAGAAGAAGCAACGGCUGCUGGCCUGUGCUGAGGAGAAAGCUGCUGGCAAAGGGGACGUCCCAACUGAGAGACCACUGUCCUCCCAGCAGGGGUCAACACAGUCACCACCUUGGUGGAGAACAAGAAGGCUCAGCUGAUGGUGAUUGCCCAUGAUGUAGACCCCAUUGAGCUGGUGGUUUUCCUGCCUGCCCUGUGUUGAAAGAUGGGGGGCCCUACUGCAUCAUCAAGGGAAAGGCCAGGCUGGGGCGCCUGGUCCACAGGAAGACGUGCACCACUGUUGCCUUCACACAGAUUAACUUGGAAGACAAGGGUGCUCUGGCUAAGCUGGUGGAAGCUAUUAGGACCAAUUAUAAUGACAGAUAUGACGAAAUCUGCCGCCACUGGGGAGGCAACGUCCUGGGUCCUAAGUCUGUGUCUCGCAUUGCCAAGCUGGAAAAGGCAAAGGCUAAAGAACUCGCCACUAAGCUGGGUUAAAUGUACACUUAAGUUUUCUGUACAUAAAUAUAACUACAAAAAAAUGAAACCUUUUAAAUGCUUUCCAUUGCUCUCAGAAAAUAAAUGGAAGAAACUAAAA
Non-coding RNA from Rattus norvegicus (Norway rat), 1127 nucleotides. Lineage: Eukaryota; Metazoa; Chordata; Mammalia; Rodentia; Muridae. The record is from RefSeq and is a predicted model, not a curated record.